CGCAUUACCGUAGUUGCACUUCAACUCUGAGUUUCGAUCAAGAAUACUUAGAGAUUGGUUUUUUUAACUAUUUCAAUUUUUUUGGAUAAUUAAUGUUUUGGGUGGCCCCCUGGAUGGUUCAGUUUCACAAAUCACCCCCGCAGAUUAUGCUGCAGAGUGCAGACGGUAUCUAGGUUACUUAUCUAUACUAUAACUAGACGGCUGGAUCGACUUGAACAAAUUUUCGCAGGACAUCGUUUGUCGGGUCCGCUAGUCUACUCGUAUAUAUUAGCUACUGUUAAACUUUAUGAUGCAUAUUUUAAAAAUAAAUUUUCAUCUGCU
Bombyx mori (domestic silkworm) is the source of this 321-nucleotide long non-coding RNA. RefSeq lists it as uncharacterized. The record is from RefSeq and is a predicted model, not a curated record. NCBI's taxonomy places the organism in Eukaryota, Metazoa, Arthropoda, Insecta, Lepidoptera, Bombycidae. The transcript has 2 exons.